CUUUACGGUUAACCUGAACAGGUCUUGGAAAAAGGACUUUAAACAUUCUCCUGUUCUGUGGAAUAAGUAUACUUUUUUCUGGACAUACACCUUGUCAGUGAGUUCCAUGUGAUACUAGAGUUGCAUAGAUUUUUAACCUUUACGCCAAUGAAGAUCUGAGGCAAACAUUGCCCCUUUUUUAGAAGUUUGCAUUUGUCACUGAUAACUGUAAUAAUUGAUCUUGUUGAAAAGCCUGGGAAAUGAAGAUCUGAUAUGUCACUUUUACCGGCUUCCUCAACUGAAAAAGAAUACAAUGAAACACGCUGAGAAUUUUUGUGCUUUCUCAGUCUUGCUGAUGAUCUUUCUAUGGGCCUGAAGCGUGGAGAGUGCCAGAGAGGCUGAUCCUCAGCAGUGUGGCAGAGGAAAGUUGGGUGCGACUAAGGGGUAUGCGGUGCCCACAUGCCACUGGGUCCUCAGCAGUACCACCUGAUUGGAAGUGAUAUUGGUGGAAGACAACAUUUUGCCGCUUGGAAUUCUCACCUCCACACCAAAGAAGUACUGUUUUUGUCAUUUGCACCAGCUUCUUUCUCCAGGAAAGAUCAAAACGAUGCACUGCAAGUGUGAUUGGUCCAGAUAGCUGCCUUAUCCAACUGCCUCCUUUGGACCACUUCAUCAUGGGACAGCUUGAUGCAAUCUACUUGACAAGACCCUGGAACCCCACACCCCUCAUGGAACCAGUGUCCACCUCCCAGUCACAGUGUGACCCCAGGGAACUCUUGCCUGCUUGCUUUAAACCCACCACUUAAAAGUCUCCACAGAAAACCUGUUUGAAUAGUACCCUUGACCCAAUAAGGGCAUUGGCCCCUGGGUGUCUCUCUCUCUCUCUCUCUCUCUCUCUCCCUCUCUCUCCCUCUCUCUCUCUCGCUCCCUGACCUCUGCGUGUGGACUCCAGGCAUGCCAUAUACCCCUCAGGACCUGAAGCAAAAGAAUGAAUUAAAGAAAACUCCAGAGAAUGAGCUGACAACCUACUCCCUGGUCAGUGGCUCUCCAUGCCUACCUGUGGUCUCUUGGACACCCUUGCAGAUGACUUCCUGGGAACUCUUCUGGGAGUGAAUGUUAUCAGCAAAUUCCCAAAACAACACCCCUUAGACAAAAAGCCUCCUCACCUAUGCAUUGCCUAGACCACCCACUAAAGGUGAUGGCCACAAAGAGGUGGAUUUGUUGAGUUGGUGCCAUUCCUUCUACUGCCAGCUUCACCAAAACAAUGACACAGUCUUCCUUCCGCAUGGAGACUCUUCUCUUUCCUGUGUUGCAGUGGAUGCCUCCUGCAGAUAAGAAAUGCUUAACUGAGAAAUGCUCAUGUUGGGAUAUCAUCGAUGAGACUUUAAUUUGGGCAUGGUGACUGUUUCCCUUGCUGCCACUUGACUCAAUCCCAGGAGCCUCAGUAGAGGAUAUAAUAUUACACAAGAUGCUCAAAAUGGUGGAAUUGCUCAGUGCUCCCAUAAAUAUACAUUUAUAAUUUUCAUUUGCCACAUGGUAAACUGAAAAAUACAGACUAU
RNAcentral lists this long non-coding RNA (1538 nucleotides) under Homo sapiens (human). RNAcentral describes it as "non-protein coding lnc-SNRPN-8:134". Lineage: Eukaryota; Metazoa; Chordata; Mammalia; Primates; Hominidae. The record is from RNAcentral.